ACAUUUGGUUGGAGGCCACAUUGAUUCUUUCAGUUUUAUUUCAGCUUCAUAAGCAACCUCCUCCUGAGCUAAAAUUACAUUGAGGGCUUGUACCAAGAUAGAAAUGACAAUAUAAAAUGUUCUUGUGCCAAAACUGAAGUACUCCUUAUUGCUCCUCCUUGUGAAUUUAUUGCUUGUGGACUUGCCAGAUUGCACUUGGACACAGAAUCUCUUCAGAGUGAGGGAAGGGCACCUUUUCCCAUCUGCCUGGUCAGAAGGCCAAGCAUCACUCAAGCCAAUUUGCAUCACUGCAUUGGGAAUUAACAUUUCCUUUACUGUGCCUGUCCCUCUGCCAUCUCAUCUCUUAUGGCCCCCUGGUUCUCCCCUCCAUCUCAUGGAAGGACUGCACAGCCCCAUAGCUCCUUGCUCUCCGCAACAAAUACUUGUCAGAGUGGAACUGAACUGUAACUACCAGCCAAUCCUCACACUGGUCCAUGGGUACGUGGCUGCUGGCACAGGUCCUUUUUUCAGGUAUAAAUAUCAGCAUUAACAUCUGCAUUUAUUGUGUUUCAUGGGAGGGUUUUCACUGGAGUCCGUGACCUCCCCAUUUUAUUGUGCUUUAGCUUUUUUGAUAAACUGGUUGAUAUUUUGAUAGAUUUUCUGUCCUGUACAUCAGUUCUUUGCUAUCUAUAAUAAAAUAACUGACUGUU
Neopsephotus bourkii (Bourke's parrot) is the source of this 689-nucleotide long non-coding RNA. RefSeq lists it as uncharacterized. The record is from RefSeq and is a predicted model, not a curated record. Lineage: Eukaryota; Metazoa; Chordata; Aves; Psittaciformes; Psittacidae. The transcript has 2 exons.